CGACCGCGUGAGCGAUGAAGGCCUUCGGGUCGUAAAGCUCUGUUGUUAGGGAAGAACAAGUAUCGGAGUAACUGCCGGUACCUUGACGGUACCUAACCAGAAAGCCACGGCUAACUACGUGCCAGCAGCCGCGGUAAUACGUAGGUGGCAAGCGUUGUCCGGAAUUAUUGGGCGUAAAGCGCGCGCAGGCGGUCCUUUAAGUCUGAUGUGAAAGCCCACGGCUCAACCGUGGAGGGUCAUUGGAAACUGGAGGACUUGAGUACAGAAGAGGAAAGUGGAAUUCCACGUGUAGCGGUGAAAUGCGUAGAGAUGUGGAGGAACACCAGUGGCGAAGGCGACUUUCUGGUCUGUAACUGACGCUGAGGCGCGAAAGCGUGGGGAGCAAACAGGAUUAGAUACCCUGGUAGUCCACGCCGUAAACGAUGAGUGCUAAGUGUUAGAGGGUUUCCGCCCUUUAGUGCUGCAGCUAACGCAUUAAGCACUCCGCCUGGGGAGUACGGCCGCAAGGCUG
This 511-nucleotide ribosomal RNA is filed under the name uncultured Bacillota bacterium. RNAcentral describes it as "bacterial SSU rRNA". It matches the Rfam family "Bacterial small subunit ribosomal RNA", at positions 394 to 896 of the family's 1533-position model. Lineage: Bacteria; Bacillati; Bacillota. The record is from RNAcentral.